RNAcentral lists this ribosomal RNA (424 nucleotides) under uncultured bacterium. Its description in RNAcentral is "bacterial SSU rRNA". It matches the Rfam family "Bacterial small subunit ribosomal RNA", at positions 356 to 773 of the family's 1533-position model. The record is from RNAcentral.
GGGGAAUCUUGCACAAUGCGCGAAAGCGUGAUGCAGCAACGCCGCGUGCGGGAAGAAGGCCUUAGGGUUGUAAACCGCUUUCAGUUGGGACGAAGCUUCAGGGGUUAAUAGCCUUUUGGAGUGACGGUAUCUUCAGAAGAAGCACCGGCUAACUACGUGCCAGCAGCCGCGGUAAUACGUAGGGUGCGAGCGUUGUCCGGAAUCAUUGGGCGUAAAGCGCGUGUAGGCGGCUGAGUAAGUCUGCUGUGAAAGUCCAGGGCUCAACCCUGGGAUGCGGCGGAUACUGCUCGGCUAGAGUACGGGAGGGGCGAGUGGAAUUCCUGGUGUAGCGGUGGAAUGCGCAGAUAUCAGGGGGAACACCUAUGGCGAAGGCAGCUCGCUGGAACGUGACUGACGCUGAGACGCGAAAGCGUGGGGAGCAAAC